CUCUUCUCGUUAGUUUUUGAAGUAUGGCCUGCCCACUGACCUUGAAUGUUGAAGGGCCGCGGUAUUUUGACCGUGCAAAGGUAGCAUAGUCAUUAGUUCUUUAAUUGUGAUCUGGUAUGAAUGGCUUGACGAGGCAUAAGCUGUCUUAAUUUUGAAUUGUUUAUUGAAUUUGGUCUUUGAGUUAAAAUUCUUAGAUGUUUUUAUGGGACGAGAAGACCCUAUAGAGUUUGACAUUUAUUAUGGUCUCUUUCUGUUUGUGAGGGUUCACUAGGGCUGUUUAAUAUGUUUUGUUGGGGUGAUGGGAGGGAUAUUAUUUAACCCCUCCUUUGUGUUGUUAUAUUUAUUUAUAUUUGCUUGAUCCAUUUAUUUUGAUUGUAAGAUUAAAUUACC
RNAcentral lists this ribosomal RNA (390 nucleotides) under Reticulitermes santonensis (Saintonge termite). RNAcentral describes it as "partial 16S ribosomal RNA". The record is from RNAcentral. Lineage: Eukaryota; Metazoa; Arthropoda; Insecta; Blattodea; Rhinotermitidae.